GAUGAAGACGCAGCGAAAUGCGAUAAGUAAUGUGAAUUGCAGAAUUCAGUGAAUCAUCGAAUCUUUGAACGCACAUUGCGCCCGCCAGUAUUCUGGCGGGCAUGCCUGUUCGAGCGUCAUUUCAACCAUCAAGCCCCCGGCUUGUGUUGGGGACCUGCGGCUGCCGCAGGCCCUGAAAACCAGUGGCGGGCUCGCUAGUCACUCCGAGCGUAGUAAUACAUCUCGCUCAGGGCGUGCUGCGGGUUCCGGCCGUUAAAAAGCCUUAUUUACCCAAGGUUGACCUCGGAUCAGGUAGGAAGACCCGCUGAACUUAAGCAUAUCAAUAGCGGAGGA
RNAcentral lists this unclassified non-coding RNA (333 nucleotides) under soil metagenome. Its description in RNAcentral is "partial contains 5.8S ribosomal RNA, internal transcribed spacer 2, and large subunit ribosomal RNA". The stretch from base 1 to 119 matches the Rfam family "5.8S ribosomal RNA", at positions 35 to 154 of the family's 154-position model. The record is from RNAcentral.